This 468-nucleotide ribosomal RNA is filed under the name uncultured bacterium. RNAcentral describes it as "partial 16S ribosomal RNA". It matches the Rfam family "Bacterial small subunit ribosomal RNA", at positions 28 to 507 of the family's 1533-position model. The record is from RNAcentral.
GACGAACGCUGGCGGCGUGCUUAACACAUGCAAGUCGAACGGAAAGGCCCUGCUUUUGUGGGGUGCUCGAGUGUCGAACGGGUGAGUAACACGUGAGUAACCUGCCCUUGACUUUGGGAUAACUUCAGGAAACUGGGGCUAAUACCGGAUAGGAGCUCCUGCUUCAUGGUGGGGGUUGUAAAGUUUCGGCGGUUGGGGAUGGACUCGCGGCUUAGCAUCUUGUUGGUGGGGUAGUGGCUUACCAAGUCUUUGACGGGUAGCCGGCCUGGGAGGGUGACCGGGCCAAGUGGGAAACGGGAGGCGGCAGGAAGGACUAGGGGGGAAGGAGGGGGGAAAUAUGCAAGAAAGGCGGAAGCAGGAUGCAGCAACGCCGCGUGCGGGAUGACGGCCUUAGGGUUGUAAACCGCUUUCGCCUGUGAAGAAGAGUGAGUGACGGUAAUGGGUAAAGAAGCACCGGCUAACUACGUG